CCUACGGGUGGCAGCAGUGAGGAAUAUUGGUCAAUGGGCGCGAGCCUGAACCAGCCAAGUAGCGUGAAGGAUGACUGCCCUACGGGUUGUAAACUUCUUUUAUAAAGGAAUAAAGUGAGGCACGUGUGCCUUUUUGUAUGUACUUUAUGAAUAAGGAUCGGCUAACUCCGUGCCAGCAGCCGCGGUAAUACGGAGGAUCCGAGCGUUAUCCGGAUUUAUUGGUUUUAAAGGGAGCGUAGAUGGGUUGUUAAGUCAGUUGUGAAAGUUUGCGACUCAACCGUAAAAUUGCAUUUGAUACUGGAAGUCUUGAGUACAGUUGAGGUAGGCGGAAUGCGUGGUGUAGCGGUGAAAUGCAUAGAUAUCACGAAGAACUCCGAUUGCGAAGGCAGCUUACUAAGCUGCCACUGACAUUGAUGCUCGAAAGUGUGGGUAUCAAACAGGAUUAGAUACCCUAGUAGUC
This 460-nucleotide ribosomal RNA is filed under the name uncultured bacterium. RNAcentral describes it as "partial 16S ribosomal RNA". It matches the Rfam family "Bacterial small subunit ribosomal RNA", at positions 338 to 795 of the family's 1533-position model. The record is from RNAcentral.